This 254-nucleotide ribosomal RNA is filed under the name uncultured prokaryote. RNAcentral's name for it is "partial 16S ribosomal RNA". It matches the Rfam family "Bacterial small subunit ribosomal RNA", at positions 524 to 776 of the family's 1533-position model. The record is from RNAcentral.
UACAGAGGUCCCGAGCGUUGUUCGGAUUCAUUGGGCGUAAAGGGCGCGUAGGCGGCGCGAUAAGUUGGGCGUGAAAGGCCCGGGCUCAACCCGGGGACUGCGCUUGAUACUGUCGCGCUGUGAGUCCGGGAGAGGAUGGCGGAAUUCCCAGUGUAGAGGUGAAAUUCGUAGAUAUCGGGAGGAACACCAGUGGCGAAGGCGGCGAUCUGGGAAGAUACUGACGCUGAGGUGCGAAAGCGUGGGGAGCAAACAGG